RNAcentral lists this long non-coding RNA (1082 nucleotides) under Piliocolobus tephrosceles (Ugandan red Colobus). Its description in RNAcentral is "lncRNA (ENSPTEG00000032560.1)". Lineage: Eukaryota; Metazoa; Chordata; Mammalia; Primates; Cercopithecidae. The record is from RNAcentral.
AGAAAGAAAGAAAGAGGAAAGAAACUUCAUCUCAAAAAGGAGAGAGAGAAAGAGAGAGAGAAUGGAAAUAAAGAGAGAAAGAAAGAAGAAAGAAAGAAAGACUCCAUCUCAAAAAAAAGAGAGAAAGAGAAAGAGAGAAAGAAAAAAGGCUCCAUCUCAAAAAAGAAAAAAAAAAAAAAAAAAAGAGAAAGACUCCAUCUAAAGAAAGAAAAAAGAGAGAGAGACAGAAACACAGACAGGUAUCCUGUGGCACAUGGUGUGCUCUCUCUGCUAGACAGAGUGCUAGACCUGUAAUUUUUUGAUGCUAUGAUGGUCUCUUGCACUGCUUUUGUGGAUUCCUACAGUGGAGGGACGUUCACGUCGCCACCGUUUUUUGCAAAGCACCAUUUUUUGCAGCCCCCGUGCUGGUUUGUGCUUCUGUUCCGUGAGCACUUGGCCUCCCAAAGUGCUGGGAUUACAGACCCUGACAGUCAUCCCUGUUGAAGAUGUGAGCCUCCAGGCUGUGGGGCACUGGGACACAUCUCUUGGUGUCUUCCAUGUCCUCCCUGUUCACCCCAGCUGCUUCCCCAACACAUCAACUGUGUAUCACGUUCCCUCUGCCUGUGGAGGCUGGCCUCAGGUUCCCCCUCUUGGUGGGGCCUGCUGGGGGACGUGGGAUGGUUUCUGGGCCUCCAGCUUUGCCAGCUUUCUCAGCAGGCACCCAUGCCUGCCUCUACAGCCUUGCUCUCCCUCCUGGAGGUGCCACUGUGCAUGGCCUCGGACAGAGGAUCGUUCCAACAGCCACUCGCCCCUUACUGCUUCAGCGCACCAAGCCUGGGCGGGGAAUACAUGGUUCUGCACAGGAGUCGGGGUCUAUGGCCUUGGUACCUGCCCAGCCAGAAGAUCACAUGUACCCCUGGAUCUCACAGCCUCUUCAGGAGCAAGCCCUGGACAGCACUGUCAACAAGAUGGGUGCUCGGUGCUUUCCCUGUUUUCUAUCAGAGAAGGUUCUGGUUUCUGAUGACGCCAACCUCCAUGCAGAUUACAUGCCAGCAGGGAGUAGGUGGCAACUGGAAUCGUGCCAACUUCACUUCCUACUGUGA